GAGUGGCGGACGGGUGAGUAACACGUACCUAACCUGCCCAGAAGCGGGGGACAACAUUUGGAAACAGAUGCUAAUACCGCAUAACAACGUUGUUCGCAUGAACAACGCUUAAAAGAUGGCUUCUCGCUAUCACUUCUGGAUGGACCUGCGGUGCAUUAGCUUGUUGGUGGGGUAACGGCCUACCAAGGCGAUGAUGCAUAGCCGAGUUGAGAGACUGAUCGGCCACAAUGGGACUGAGACACGGCCCAUACUCCUACGGGAGGCAGCAGUAGGGAAUCUUCCACAAUGGGCGCAAGCCUGAUGGAGCAACACCGCGUGAGUGAAGAAGGGUUUCGGCUCGUAAAGCUCUGUUGUUAAAGAAGAACACGUAUGAGAGUAACUGUUCAUACGUUGACGGUAUUUAACCAGAAAGUCACGGCUAACUACGUGCCAGCAGCCGCGGUAAUACGUAGGUGGCAAGCGUUAUCCGGAUUUAUUGGGCGUAAAGAGAGUGCAGGCGGUUUUCUAAGUCUGAUGUGAAAGCCUUCGGCUUAACCGGAGAAGUGCAUCGGAAACUGGAUAACUUGAGUGCAGAAGAGGGUAGUGGAACUCCAUGUGUAGCGGUGGAAUGCGUAGAUAUAUGGAAGAACACCAGUGGCGAAGGCGGCUACCUGGUCUGCAACUGACGCUGAGACUCGAAAGCAUGGGUAGCGAACAGGAUUAGAUACCCUGGUAGUCCAUGCCGUAAACGAUGAGUGCUAGGUGUUGGAGGGUUUCCGCCCUUCAGUGCCGGAGCUAACGCAU
Molecule: ribosomal RNA, 783 nt
Filed under: uncultured bacterium
Lineage: Bacteria
Description: bacterial SSU rRNA
Rfam family: Bacterial small subunit ribosomal RNA
Source: RNAcentral